UUUCUUCGGAGAGUUUGAUCCUGGCUCAGGAUGAACGCUGGCGGCGUGCCUAAUACAUGCAAGUCGAGCGA
This 71-nucleotide ribosomal RNA is filed under the name Priestia flexa. Its description in RNAcentral is "Bacillus flexus 16S rRNA. Bacterial SSU". It matches the Rfam family "Bacterial small subunit ribosomal RNA", at positions 1 to 69 of the family's 1533-position model. The record is from RNAcentral. Lineage: Bacteria; Bacillati; Bacillota; Bacilli; Caryophanales; Bacillaceae. RNAcentral also lists the same sequence under 1 other name.